Molecule: ribosomal RNA, 1372 nt
Filed under: uncultured bacterium
Lineage: Bacteria
Description: bacterial SSU rRNA
Rfam family: Bacterial small subunit ribosomal RNA
Source: RNAcentral
GAUGAACGCUGGCGGCGUGCCUAAUACAUGCAAGUCGAGCGAACGGACGAGAAGCUUGCUUCUCUGAUGCUAGCGGCGGACGGGUGAGUAACACGUGGAUAACCUACCUAUAAGACUGGGAUAACUUCGGGAAACCGUAGCUAAUACCGGAUAAUAUUUUGAACCGCAUGGUUCAAAAGUGAAAGACGGUCUUGCUGUCACUUAUAGAUGGAUCCGCGCUGCAUUAGCUAGUUGGUAAGGUAACGGCUUACCAAAGCAACGAUGCAUAGCCGACCUGAGAGGGUGAUCGGCCACACUGGAACUGAGACACGGUCCAGACUCCUACGGGAGGCAGCAGUAGGGAAUCUUCCGCAAUGGGCGAAAGCCUGACGGAGCAACGCCGCGUGAGUGAUGAAGGUCUUCGGAUCGUAAAACUCUGUUAUUAGGGAAGAACAUAUGUGUAAGUAACUGUGCACAUCUUGACGGUACCUAAUCAGAAAGCCACGGCUAACUACGUGCCAGCAGCCGCGGUAAUACGUAGGUGGCAAGCGUUAUCCGGAAUUAUUGGGCGUAAAGCGCGCGUAGGCGGUUUUUUAAGUCUGAUGUGAAAGCCCACGGCUCAACCGUGGAGGGUCAUUGGAAACUGGAAAACUUGAGUGCAGAAGAGGAAAGUGGAAUUCCAUGUGUAGCGGUGAAAUGCGCAGAGAUAUGGAGGAACACCAGUGGCGAAGGCGACUUUCUGGUCUGUAACUGACGCUGAUGUGCGAAAGCGUGGGGAUCAAACAGGAUUAGAUACCCUGGUAGUCCACGCCGUAAACGAUGAGUGCUAAGUGUUAGGGGGUUUCCGCCCCUUAGUGCUGCAGCUAACGCAUUAAGCACUCCGCCUGGGGAGUACGACCGCAAGGUUGAAACUCAAAGGAAUUGACGGGGACCCGCACAAGCGGUGGAGCAUGUGGUUUAAUUCGAAGCAACGCGAAGAACCUUACCAAAUCUUGACAUCCUUUGACAACUCUAGAGAUAGAGCCUUCCCCUUCGGGGGACAAAGUGACAGGUGGUGCAUGGUUGUCGUCAGCUCGUGUCGUGAGAUGUUGGGUUAAGUCCCGCAACGAGCGCAACCCUUAAGCUUAGUUGCCAUCAUUAAGUUGGGCACUCUAAGUUGACUGCCGGUGACAAACCGGAGGAAGGUGGGGAUGACGUCAAAUCAUCAUGCCCCUUAUGAUUUGGGCUACACACGUGCUACAAUGGACAAUACAAAGGGCAGCGAAACCGCGAGGUCAAGCAAAUCCCAUAAAGUUGUUCUCAGUUCGGAUUGUAGUCUGCAACUCGACUACAUGAAGCUGGAAUCGCUAGUAAUCGUAGAUCAGCAUGCUACGGUGAAUACGUUCCCGGGUCU